AGUCCAGACUCCUACGGGAGGCAGCAGUGGGGAAUAUUGCACAAUGGGGGGAACCCUGAUGCAGCGACGCCGCGUGAGUGAAGAAGUAUUUCGGUCUGUAAAUCUCUAUCAGCAGGGAAGAAAAUGACGGUACCUGACUAAGAAGCCCCGGCUAACUACGUGCCAGCAGCCGCGGUAAUACGUAGGGGGCAAGCGUUAUCCGGAUUUACUGGGUGUAAAGGGAGCGUAGACGGCAGAGCAAGUCUGAAGUGAAAGCCCGCGGCCCAACUGCGGGACUGCUUUGGAAACUGCCCGGCUGGAGUGCUGGAGAGGUAAGCGGAAUUCCUAGUGUAGCGGUGAAAUGCGUAGAUAUUAGGAGGAACAUCGGUGGCGAAGGCGGCUUACUGGGCUUUUACUGACGCUGAGGCUCGAAAGCGUGGGGAGCAAACAGGAUUAGAUACCCCCGUAC
This 448-nucleotide ribosomal RNA is filed under the name uncultured bacterium. Its description in RNAcentral is "bacterial SSU rRNA". It matches the Rfam family "Bacterial small subunit ribosomal RNA", at positions 328 to 793 of the family's 1533-position model. The record is from RNAcentral.